Molecule: long non-coding RNA, 957 nt
Organism: Suricata suricatta (meerkat)
Lineage: Eukaryota; Metazoa; Chordata; Mammalia; Carnivora; Herpestidae
Exons: 3
Source: RefSeq, a predicted model, not a curated record
GGCUUCAUACGGGGGUGGUCCGGCGGUUGGCUGUGUUGGAAUGGAGAGAGUCUUUGUUCUCCUUCUGGAUACAGUUGUGGACUUGGAGGAAGCUGUUGUCCCUGUCGGAGUUGUAGGUGGCGGUGGGCGUGGUGGCGGCCUUCAGGGGGUCCCUGCUGAGGGGGUACAUGGAGAUCUCCGUGGACGGCAGGGUGUUGAAGCCCUUGAUGCCCACGGGGGAGGCGUCCCUGGAGCGCGAGGGCUCGGUGGAGCGGGAGCUGGAGCGGCUGCGGCGCUGGUAGCGGUAACGGUAGCUGGGGAUGCGGGUGAUGGCGGAGGCCUGGAGGUAGUCCGUGGCGCGGGCCGUGGCCCGCAGCUGUUUGUGCCGGUCGAUAAACAUGUGCACGGCCAGCACCCCAACCAUCUCGGCAAUGAUGAAGGACAGGGCCCCGAAGUAGAAGGACCAGCCGUAUGAGUCAGUGUCAAAGACACAGUAGGUCCCCAGUAUGGGCUUGCUGAGUGCAUAAAGGUGGUGAGGAGGUCCAGAAAGAGGAAGAAGCAGACAUGUUGCCAAGAAAAGAAAAAGUAAAAAACAAAAAACAAAAUACGCCUCCAGGAUAAGGUAAGGCUCCGGCUGUGGUCCCCCCACUCCCACCACCACUAGGAGGAUGCAUUUUUCCCCUCUUGCAUCUCCUGAGGCCAGCGGUUUCUCCAAGGGUCCUCCCCACCAGGCUGGGCUGUGCCUGGGGCCAGGGCUGCAGCACCGUGAUCUCCCAGCACCGAGCACAGGCUCCACACGGUGUCAGCCUGCCUUUGUGCCACUGCUCUGCUCCUGCAAGAGCCUGGACCCGGCAACGGGGAAUGAGAACCCAACCCGUCUUUCAGGAAUUCCAUUUAAGAGCAUUCGGAAAUUCAUAAACGGAAAUGAUGAGCAUUGUAAGAUAUUUUCUCUCCCUUUAAAAAGACAUCUAUAAAUGA